This 317-nucleotide long non-coding RNA is filed under the name Physcomitrium patens. RNAcentral's name for it is "long non-coding RNA (PPAT_LNC011286)". Lineage: Eukaryota; Viridiplantae; Streptophyta; Bryopsida; Funariales; Funariaceae. The record is from RNAcentral.
AUCUCUGAUUUAUUCUACAGACUCACUUCUCAGUAUUCAAAAACUAUCUAUUACUUUUCGACAACAAAGAAACAAAGAGACAAAGAGGUAGCACCAAGCUUACUCCGGCUCAUAUCUAUCACAGUCUGGCACUCAGACUAACUUCUACAACUCAUAUAUACUUACUUCCUAUUCCUAGAUUCUAACCGUAAUCCUGUAAUUAACCGCUUGUAAUAACUAAGUUAACCAUCCAUCCUCUUCAACUCACUAUUCUAUGGACUAUUAGUCUAUUUUAUUAAUAUCUUACAGAAUCAAACUAAUAUCUAUUCUACAUAGCC